RNAcentral lists this ribosomal RNA (864 nucleotides) under uncultured acantharean. RNAcentral's name for it is "SSU rRNA". It matches the Rfam family "Eukaryotic small subunit ribosomal RNA", at positions 653 to 1538 of the family's 1831-position model. Lineage: Eukaryota; Acantharea. The record is from RNAcentral.
CAGUAUUAGGCCCUUCUUCCAAUACGGUUGCUAGUGGUCUUUACUUCCUUAACAGAAUCUUUCAUUUUAUUAAUUUAAAGUGUUUGGGGCCUGUUUCUUUUACUUUGAGAAAAUUAGAGUGUUCAAAGCGGGUUUUCGCCUGGAUAUUACUCUUGGAAUAAUAAUAUAGGACUUUGGUUCUUUUUUGUUGGUGACUUAGAACCGAAGUAAUGAUUGAUAGGGACAGUUGGGGUCAUUCGUACUAUGAAGCGAGAGGUGAAAUUCAUGGACCUUUGUAUGACGAACUACUGCGAAAGCAUUUGACUAGGAUGUUCCCGUUGAUCAAGAACGAAAGUUGGGGGAUCGAAGACGAUCAGAUACCGUCGUAGUCUCAACCAUAAACUAUGCCAGCUAGGGAUUGGAGGAAGAUCAUUUUACGUCUCCUUCAGCACCUUAUGAGAAAUCAAAGCAUUUGGGUUCCGGGGGGAGUAUGGUCGCAAGGCUGAAACUUAAAGGAAUUGACGGGAGGGCACCACCAGGAGUGGAGCCUGCGGCUUAAUUUGAUUCAACACGGGAAAACUUACCAGGUCCGGACAUGGGAAGGAUUGACAGAUUGAAAGCUCUUUCUUGAUUCUAUGGGUGGUGGUGCAUGGCCGUUCUUANUUGGUGGAGUGANNUGUCUGGUUAAUUCCGUUAACNAACGAGACCUCANCCUGCUANNUAGUUAAAUCNUGGUUUUAUAAGAUUUUAACUUCUUAGAGGGACUACGUGACCUACAAGCGCGAGGAAGCUUGANGCAAUAACANGUCUGUGAUGCCCUUAGAUGUUCUGGGCCGCACGCGGGCUACACUGGUGUUUUCACAAGCCUUAUUCCCUUGACCGAAA